Molecule: transfer RNA, 105 nt
Filed under: Microbacterium tenebrionis
Lineage: Bacteria; Bacillati; Actinomycetota; Actinomycetes; Micrococcales; Microbacteriaceae
Description: tRNA-Ser
Source: RNAcentral
GGAGGGCCAGCACCGCGGGCCCCUCGAAUAGCUAGACCGCGCACACCACCCUGCUAAGGUGGAGUCCCCGUAAGGGGACCGAGGGUUCAAAUCCCUCCGUCUCCG